CCAGACUCCUACGGGAGGCAGCAGUGGGGAAUAUUGCACAAUGGGGGAAACCCUGAUGCAGCAACGCCGCGUGAGUGAGGAAGUAUUUCGGUAUGUAAAGCUCUAUCGGCAGGGAAUAGAAAAGAAGGUACCUGAAAAAGAAGCCCCGGCUAACUACGUGCCAGCAGCCGCGGUAAUACGUAGGGGGCAAGCGUUAUCCGGAUUUACUGGGUGUAAAGGGAGCGUAGACGGAAAGGCAAGUCAGAAGUGAAAGCCCAAGGCUCAACCAUGGGACUGCUUUUGAAACUGUCAAACUAGAGUACGGGAGAGGUAAGAGGAAUUCCUAGUGUAGCGGUGAAAUGCAUAGAUAUCACGCAGAACUCCGAUUGCGAAGGCAGCAUACCGGCGCCCAACUGACGCUGAAGCACGAAAGCGUGGGUAUCGAACAGGAUUAGAUACCCUUGUAA
RNAcentral lists this ribosomal RNA (446 nucleotides) under uncultured bacterium. Its description in RNAcentral is "partial 16S ribosomal RNA". It matches the Rfam family "Bacterial small subunit ribosomal RNA", at positions 331 to 793 of the family's 1533-position model. The record is from RNAcentral.